This 484-nucleotide ribosomal RNA is filed under the name uncultured bacterium. RNAcentral's name for it is "partial 16S ribosomal RNA". It matches the Rfam family "Bacterial small subunit ribosomal RNA", at positions 29 to 507 of the family's 1533-position model. The record is from RNAcentral.
AUUGAACGCUGGCGGCAUGCUUUACACAUGCAAGUCGAACGGCAGCGCGGGCUUCGGCCUGGCGGCGAGUGGCGAACGGGUGAGUAAUACAUCGGAACGUGCCCAGUAGUGGGGGAUAGCUCGGCGAAAGCCGGAUUAAUACCGCAUACGACCUGAGGGUGAAAGCGGGGGAUCUUCGGACCUCGCGCUAUUGGAGCGGCCGAUGGCAGAUUAGCUAGUUGGUGGGGUAAAGGCCUACCAAGGCGACGAUCUGUAGCUGGUCUGAGAGGACGACCAGCCACACUGGGACUGAGACACGGCCCAGACUCCUACGGGAGGCAGCAGUGGGGAAUUUUGGACAAUGGGCGAAAGCCUGAUCCAGCAAUGCCGCGUGUGUGAUGAAGGCCUUCGGGUUGUAAAGCACUUUUGGCGGGAACGAAAAGGACUGUGCCAAUACCACGGCUCGAUGACGGUACCCGCAGAAUAAGCACCGGCUGACUACGUG